RNAcentral lists this ribosomal RNA (441 nucleotides) under uncultured Clostridium sp. RNAcentral describes it as "bacterial SSU rRNA". It matches the Rfam family "Bacterial small subunit ribosomal RNA", at positions 337 to 795 of the family's 1533-position model. The record is from RNAcentral. Lineage: Bacteria; Bacillati; Bacillota; Clostridia; Eubacteriales; Clostridiaceae.
GCCUACGGGAGGCUGCAGUGGGGAAUAUUGCGCAAUGGAGGAAACUCUGACGCAGCAACGCCGCGUGAAUGAUGAAGGCCUUAGGGUUGUAAAGUUCUGUCUUCUGGGACGAUAAUGACGGUACCAGAGGAGGAAGCCACGGCUAACUACGUGCCAGCAGCCGCGGUAAUACGUAGGUGGCAAGCGUUGUCCGGAUUUACUGGGCGUAAAGGAUGCGUAGGCGGAUAUUUAAGUCAGAUGUGAAAUACCCGGGAUCAACUUGGGUGCUGCAUUUGAAACUGGAUAUCUAGAGUGCGGGAGAGGUAAGUGGAAUUCCUAGUGUAGCGGUGAAAUGCGUAGAGAUUAGGAAGAACACCAGUGGCGAAGGCGACUUACUGGACCGUAACUGACGCUGAGGCAUGAAAGCGUGGGGAGCAAACAGGAUUAGAUACCCUGGUAGUC